AACGCGUAAGUAAUCUACCACUGCAUUCGGAAUAACCCAUCGAAAGGUGAGCUAAUACCGGAUACGUUUAAUUAUACACAAGUAUAGUUAAAGAAAGAUGGCCUCUUUUUUAAGCUAUUGUGCAGUGAGGAGCUUGCGUACCAUUAGCUAGUUGGUGGGGUAAAAGCCUACCAAGGCAACGAUGGUUAGCGGGUCUGAGAGGAUGAUCCGCCACACUGGAACUGGAACACGGACCAG
This 237-nucleotide ribosomal RNA is filed under the name uncultured bacterium. RNAcentral describes it as "partial 16S ribosomal RNA". It matches the Rfam family "Bacterial small subunit ribosomal RNA", at positions 112 to 334 of the family's 1533-position model. The record is from RNAcentral.